This is a long non-coding RNA of Uranotaenia lowii, 1422 nucleotides long. RefSeq lists it as uncharacterized. Lineage: Eukaryota; Metazoa; Arthropoda; Insecta; Diptera; Culicidae. The transcript is spliced from 5 exons. The record is from RefSeq and is a predicted model, not a curated record.
CUGUCGCUCAUAAGAAUAGAUCAAUGACUAACUUGGUUUUGUUUGUUUGCCUACACUGACAAAACAUUCCACACAUUAGUGUGUGAAAUUUCACACAUUUUGGAAAUAAGUAGACCAACACAUUAAAUGUGUGAAGGUAUAUACACGGAAAAAAUGGGCUAUUCAUAAAAUGUGUUGUGAUUACACCUUCAAAAUAACUAGUCGGUUGUUGCUCAAAAUUUGAAUAUCCCCAAUUCAAUUUUGAGUAGUUUUGGGUUGCCAAUAUACUUAUGCGAACUAAAAUUCGAUUAUUCAGCUCUGUAUAAAAAGUUUGCUGUUGUUGGAAUCUGUUGAAAAUGGAUGUUCAAAGCUAAUUGUGAGCUUUUUUUGGGAAAAAGACAAGAAAAAAACCGCGUGUGUUGUGAUGGUUUUUAUUUUACAGCGUUUUUAUGUUGGAAUCUUAAUUUUUUGCUCGUAAAAGGGUGAAUGCCAACGAUCGUGAUCCGAUGGGUUCUGGAAGAAAGAGCCCCACAACCAUCUAUUUUUUAUUCUAAAUAGGGCGGCCCAAAGGUGGGCUAGGAGUAACGAUGAAAGCUCAAAACUCCUCGUUGAUCAAUCCCUUUCGGAAGGGCGCUUUGGUCAAUUUACUGAGAUCGAUGGGAAAACGUCGAUAAGCAGCUGAUCCGGAUAUUAAUAUGUUGGAAAACCAUCAGAUAUCAACGCCCUUUGAUGGAAAAAAAAGUCUGCUAAGUAGCUUUCCGGCGUUUCCGAGUGCCAUCCGCAUAUUGAUUUUAGGCCAAAGAGCGAACUAAAUGUGCCAAUAGUCGUCAAAAUCUUUGAAAAUGAUUUCCGAUGGGAUUGGCUACUAUUUCACUUAUAGCUCCGAAAGGAUUUGAGCUACUGUUAGAAAUGGAUGCGGUUUCCGCUGGAACUGCCAAACGAAAUUAAAAAGCUGUUUGAAACCGGGGUAAAAGCUAGUAGAAGCAUAAAACAAGCAUAAACGUUACCAACCAGUGCCCGGAACCCGAAUGAAAAUUUGAAAAAUGAAAAGGGAUAAAGAAAGUGUAAGCUCCUUGGUUAUCGUUGAAGAAUUUGGUUGCCCGUGGGCCGACCAUGAUCUUAUUGGAUGUUUGGUCUUAGUUCAUAACUGAGAUUGUCACCCAGAAGGCACAGAAGAGUUACACCGGAACAACUUUCUUGAACCAACUAUCAAGAUGGCGUUAUGUAUCUACCGGAAAAAGCUGUUAAUUUUUUUUUCCAAGACCGCGAUACUCCUUCGCGUUCGAUCUGUAAAGAAAAAUUGGAAGAAGGAACUGGUUCUGACGAUCCUUCGAUCCCUUUUGGCAUUGACGUUGGGCAACAUGGGCGUUUAUCAGUUUUAGUUGUUGAAAGUUCCGGUUUGAGCCAUGUAAGCUGUUGAAAUGGUAUUCCGGCACCGGGGUG